ACAAAAUAUGGCGUUGAAAUUUACUUUGCGAGACUACUGAAGAAAAAAGAAAGCCAUGCCAUACAAGUUGGACUAUCUUAAGAGUUCAACGACCUUUAACAGGGGGCUUUAAAGUUUACAAGUAUUCAAUUUUGAGGAGCUUAAAAUGGGCAUACGUAAAUCAAGAUAUCAAGUAUUUCGGUAGAUCGUGAUGGACAAUGGACAGACCUGCCACGUGUUGAAACAAGCUGGAACCGACAUACAUCCCAACUACUUGUUGUUUCUUCUUGGUCUCUUCUACUUCUUGGGCAAGUUAUUCUUUAUGACGUGGAUACCUUCGGGGGAGAGACGCCAAAGUGACACCACUGCCGAAUGUAUUAAGAAUUAGAGUUCGCAGAGGUGCGCACAAUCUAAAAUGAGAUGGGGUGAGAGAGGCGGCGAGUGGCAUAAGACAGCCAAUCAUAGCUAGAACACAUCAUUCGCAUCGACGACGGUGUUUCUUAGAUUGCGUUUGCUAGACGCAAGAUCACCAGAUGUAGUGUACUGAUAGGGCAAGAAGUCAUACGUUUGCUGAUAAAUACAAUGUUGAAAGCACUUUUCGAAAGCAACACGUCCGGUCAGAGAAAAUUGAGCGGCAACUGGACCCGCAUGGCAACGCCAUGAAAAAAUGCAGCUUGCUGGUACCAAUACACAAGAGCGUCACACACAGCCACACGCACACGCACACCGUAUAAGACGAUUCGAACACGUAGACAAAAAACGCACUUUGCACACCAACAACAAUAGUUUAGUUGCAGAACACGAAUAUAUUGACAGUUAAAACUAUCAAUUAAUAAAAAGGGGAGUAAAUUCGCUCAGACGCCGGCAAAUGUUUCUCUCUGACAGCAACGAAGUGACGUCGCGUUGGCAGCGUCCCUCUGAAACUUUAUUUGAUUGGCAAUUGCGGUCUUUCUACGCGAAAGUAAACUGCAUAAAUGUAUUUAAAUGACCGAUUUUGAUUAACUAGCCCACUUCAUUCUUUUUAGCACCAGCUGGAACCAUUUAGCACAUUACAAAUUUUAGUUUAACUUUUUAAUUUUUUUUAUACCUGUGUUCAGUCUCGUAUAACGAUAUGAAA
Long non-coding RNA from Drosophila pseudoobscura, 1096 nucleotides. RefSeq lists it as uncharacterized. Lineage: Eukaryota; Metazoa; Arthropoda; Insecta; Diptera; Drosophilidae. The transcript has 2 exons. The record is from RefSeq and is a predicted model, not a curated record.